Molecule: small RNA, 594 nt
Filed under: Arabidopsis thaliana (thale cress)
Lineage: Eukaryota; Viridiplantae; Streptophyta; Magnoliopsida; Brassicales; Brassicaceae
Description: ATSL294380
Source: RNAcentral
ACUGUAAAUCUUGAAGAUAUUCUUAAUCACAGCCACCUCAUUUCUAUCCGCUUUACACAUAAAUAGACUGUCAUCUGCGAAUAGAAGGUGAUGGAUAGCUGGUCCAUUUGGAGAGAACCUGAUACUACUGAUGAGGCAUUGACAUUCAGCCCGAUUCAUAAGGUGAGUGAGAUCUUCUGAGCACAAGACGAACAGAAACGGUGAAAGAAUAUCUAAUUGAUUAGAAGUGAGAAGGAGACCGAAGUGAUCAUAAACAUGAUCCAUUGCACCCAUUUCUGAUGGAAUCUCAGCGCCUCUAGCAAAGCUUUAACAUAAUUCCACUCCACUUUGUCAAAAGCUUUUGACAUGUCUGAUUUGAUGGCUAUGAACUCUUUUGACACAGUUCGAUGAGUAUGCAACCCGUGAACAACCUCAUGAGCUAUGAGAAUGUUAUCUGAAAUCAACCUAUCAGUCACAAAGGCGGAUUGAUUAGGAGAAACCAGAUCAGAGAGAAAGGGUUGGAGACGUCUAACCAUAAUCAUUGAGAUGAUCUUGUACAGAACUGAACACAAACUUAUAGGUCUCAAAUCAGACAUCUUGACAGGAUUUUUCUUU